This 23-nucleotide small nuclear RNA is filed under the name Arabidopsis thaliana (thale cress). Its description in RNAcentral is "snRNA_11724". Lineage: Eukaryota; Viridiplantae; Streptophyta; Magnoliopsida; Brassicales; Brassicaceae. The record is from RNAcentral.
AUCGACUAAAAUAUUUAGACAAU